Long non-coding RNA from Centrocercus urophasianus (Greater sage-grouse), 2050 nucleotides. RefSeq lists it as uncharacterized. NCBI's taxonomy places the organism in Eukaryota, Metazoa, Chordata, Aves, Galliformes, Phasianidae. The record is from RefSeq and is a predicted model, not a curated record. The transcript is spliced from 3 exons.
UCCACUGUUGCUGUAUCAUCUUUGCUUUCCAAUUUCUCUAGGUAAUGCCUGACAAUCUGGAAAUAAAGAAACAAAUCUUCUCAUCGCGCUCACCAUGUGGUACUGGAAUAGUAGCUUCUUUCUCAAAAAAGGACAGAUGUAUUGGCCCUCACCUCAUUCAUCUCUCUCACUAUUUUAUCUGAGGUUGUUCACAAUUGACAACUAGCUACUUGUAAUGCAGAUUAUGCAGGCUAUGCAGCGUCUGAGGAGGAUAACAGAAGUAAAAAAUAAAGGUGGAAAAGCCCUCACUUUGGUUCAAAUGAAAACUAGACUUAAUGUGUUCACUUUAAAUGUCUUUCAGUAAUAUUCUCAUCCCUGAAUAAAGAUAAUUUCAACUAGUAGCCAAACGUAGAGGCUGUAUAGAACUACUGAGUCACGAUCACCUGAAGCAAGCACUGAGACAGCCCUGGGAGCACGGGUGAAGGCGAUCCAGCUGUGUGACCAGAAAGGAUGGAGCCUGGCUGCACCUCUCUUAGACCCCCCAUUUAAGGACUGACUGCCACAGGGGAAGGGUCUCUCUCUGGAGGUCCCUCCUCUUGGAGUUUUUCUUGCAAGCCCACAACACAGAGUUUGCACAUGGAAGCGUGACUGUGCUUGCAGUUCUGCAGUACAAAAGGCAACCAGGGGAUAAUCAAGGAAAGAACUGCCUAGGAUGUCAGGGCUGGCCACUGAUGGGGAAAAAAAAUGAAUCGGAUGAGAACUGAGAGAAGUAUAAGAAACCAAGCACAGAGCUCCAUGGCCUUGAAGUCUGAAAAUGAAACACUGAAAACAGCAAGCGCGAAACAACUACAAAAACUGUGUUGUUCUUACUGCACAGAUUUCCCAGGAAAAAUCUGUAGUAGUCUUAAUGAAAUAAUUUAGCUUGCCUUUUUGCCUAAAGGAACAAUGCAGCAUUAUUAUUUUCAUACUAAGGGUUCUUGUCUGAUUUCACUUGUGUUUGAACAUGCCUCUGGGGCUUCUGAGAAUGGCCAGUACCCUAUUUGAUGAAGUAACUGGCGUCUGCACCCAAGAUGAAACUUACCUCUAAGCAGAGUCAGCCAAAGGUCUCUCUACUGUUUAAAUGAAAUUAAGAGUUUAUUCUGAUCCUCUGCAGUCUAUUAAUCUUUCCUUGGGAAAGAAAAAAAAAAAUCUACGCUGCACAUUUCAGACUAUGUAUGUUUCACUUAAAAGGAGAAAAAAGCCUCAGGUGGACACUUUCAAGAUUACAUUUCAGGAUUUUGAUUUCCUUUUUCUGAUUAAAAAAAUCAAUCACAUUAAAUGAAAUCAAAACAGUCAGAAUACUCCCCUGUCUUGUAAAAAUCCUAUACAUCCAGUUCUUGAGCUUGUACGUGCAUUUUUGUUACGCUGUGGACUGAUAAUUCUGCAAAAUAUUACAGUAUUGCAUAAUAAAUGCUAUGCUUUACCUGCCACACCAUUUUCGAAAUGAUUUCAUUUUCUUAAUCAGGAAAACAGUUCUUUUAGUUGGACCAAGGUCAGUUCAUACUGCAGUAGUUUUCAUGACUGGUCCAUCCAUUUUGUAUCUCAGAAGAUGGGCGUCCUUGAGAAUCACGUGGUUUGAUUUUUUUUUCUUUGUUAGUUUGUUUGCUGGAUAUUUCCUGGAUAUUUUUCUGCCUAAAGUUGUUCCUUGCCACCUGUUACCUGAUUCUUCAAUUGCAUCAACUUUCUCUUCCGUGACAGUUGUUGGCAUCCUGCUAAGGACGAGUAAGCACUCUUGGUUCUCAAAAUGGUAUAGGUUUUCACUUGGUUCAGUCCCUAGAAAGGUAGGGCAAAAAUAUUUUUGCAUCCCAUUCUUUCUUCGUUCCAGAACCAGCAAUUAUUGAACCACUGUUUUUAAUGUUGUUCAGUCAAUAGACUGUGUGUUUUCCUCUUGUAUACCUCAAAAUUAAAAUAAAUAUGUAACAGAUGUCAAUCUAUCUAUACAUGUAAAUGCAUGUUUUGGAUGUAGUUUUCUUGGGUUUGGAAUAACCUUAUUUCCUCUUAAUUUGUAUUUUAAUACAAAUAAAUAAAUAAA